AACGAACGCUGGCGGCAGGCCUAACACAUGCAAGUCGAGCGCACCUUCGGGUGAGCGGCGGACGGGUUAGUAACGCGUGGGAAUAUACCCUUCACUACGGAAUAGCCUCGGGAAACUGAGAGUAAUACCGUAUACGCCCUUCGGGGGAAAGAUUUAUCGGUGAAGGAUUAGCCCGCGUCUGAUUAGAUAGUUGGUGGGGUAAUGGCCUACCAAGUCUACGAUCAGUAGCUGGUUUGAGAGGAUGAUCAGCAACACUGGGACUGAGACACGGCCCAGACUCCUACGGGAGGCAGCAGUGGGGAAUCUUAGACAAUGGGCGCAAGCCUGAUCUAGCCAUGCCGCGUGAGUGACGAAGGCCUUAGGGUCGUAAAGCUCUUUCGCCAGAGAUGAUAAUGACAGUAUCUGGUAAAGAAACCCCGGCUAACUCCGUGCCAGCAGCCGCGGUAAUACGGAGGGGGUUAGCGUUGUUCGGAAUUACUGGGCGUAAAGCGUACGUAGGCGGAUUGGAAAGUUGGGGGUGAAAUCCCGGGGCUCAACCCCGGAACUGCCUCCAAAACUAUCAGUCUAGAGUUCGAGAGAGGUGAGUGGAAUUCCAAGUGUAGAGGUGAAAUUCGUAGAUAUUUGGAGGAACACCAGUGGCGAAGGCGGCUCACUGGCUCGAUACUGACGCUGAGGUACGAAAGUGUGGGGAGCAAACAGGAUUAGAUACCCUGGUAGUCCACACCGUAAACGAUGAAUGCCAGACGUCGGGGGGCUUGCCCUUCGGUGUCACACCUAACGGAUUAAGCAUUCCGCCUGGGGAGUACGGUCGCAAGAUUA
Molecule: ribosomal RNA, 819 nt
Filed under: uncultured bacterium
Lineage: Bacteria
Description: bacterial SSU rRNA
Rfam family: Bacterial small subunit ribosomal RNA
Source: RNAcentral